AGGCAAAGCUAGGCUAGGUCUUGGAGGCUGGUGUGAGGCGGUGCGGGUAAGGCAGGAGGCUGAAGGAAGACACUGUGGAAGAAAAGCCGAAAUGGAUUCUCCGUGCCUUGGAUGGAGGAAGAGGGGGGAAGUGCGAGCUCCUUCAACUCCUUCGGUCCGGUGAGGAGUGAUCCAGCUUGGGCUGACAAGAGGCUCCGGGGGCCCUCACGUUCAGGGCUUUUUUACCUGCCAAUCAAACUGCUACAAGACAACACCCUGAUCUGGCAAUGGACGC
RNAcentral lists this long non-coding RNA (274 nucleotides) under Microtus ochrogaster (prairie vole). RNAcentral describes it as "SOX2 overlapping transcript exon 3 (ENSMOCG00000008050.1)". It matches the Rfam family "SOX2 overlapping transcript exon 3". From Rfam's summary of the family: SOX2 overlapping transcript (SOX2OT) is a long non-coding RNA, containing at least 5 exons. The record is from RNAcentral. Lineage: Eukaryota; Metazoa; Chordata; Mammalia; Rodentia; Cricetidae.